UUGGCCAUGGCCUCUGAGUCUGAGUGAGCAGAUUUUUGAUUCUUCUCUCCUCUAACAGGCCUGUGUUCUCUCUCUGCAGCUGCUGUGGACUCUGCGCAGGCUCAGAGGGAACUGCUGCCCUCUGUACAGACUGACACAACAGAGGACGACUCUCCCUCCGGCAGCGUGCACAGAGAGACUGAAGAAUCAAAAAACCUCAGCUGAAAGCCGACCCUGAAGGCAGGGUAGACAGGUUCAGUGAAGGUGGUGUUGAAGGUGUGGAGGUGGAUCAGAGAGUCAGAGGAGACAUUGUAGAAGGACAGAGAGCCAGAGGGCCAGUCCAGAUACACUCCCACUCUGUGAGAGAAGGAAGACGGGGGACAUAUGUCUGUUUUUUCUGAGUUGUGAUGAGCAGAGUCACUCCCACACAAACCAGUCCCUGCCACUCCACCUCCCAGUAACAACGCCCAGUCAGACCAUUUCUACACAGCAGCUGAAGGCAGUCGUCAAAUCUCUCCGGAUGAUCGGGAAGCUGAUUUGUCAGGAACAGUGACCCCAGAUCACCUAAAAAACCAGAAUAAGCUUUAAACCUUCACCUUUUAUCAAAUAAGUGGCGUCCAUCUUUGAAGGUCACAGGUUCCCCUCUGGAGUGAUCACUCCUCAGGGACACACAGCUGGGUCCAGGGGAGUCUGGUCUCUCCUGCUGAAUCCUGAGAGAAAAACCACCAGAAAAACUGACAAAGAAGUUACUGACUGUAUUAUCUCAACCACCUGAGGCAAAUGGGAAGGGCAGAAGUGUUCCUGCUUUGAACAAAAGAUGUAAUAUCUGUUUUCAUCUGGGAAUUUAAUCUUAUUUGGCUGACUGGAAGAGUGUCAUAAAAAUGUCUAAAACAUAACUAAAAUAUAGUAAAGAAAGUCCUUUUUUCAGUGGUCGAAGAAGUAAUCAGAUACUUUACAUGAGUAAAAGUACCACACAGUAACACAUAUGCAACAGAACAAUUAUAGAAAUAAAUAUUUUGGAUAUAUUUUAUGAUUAAAAGUAAAUGAACCUUCUUCCUUGUCACCUUUGUUGUAACUGUUACUGUGUAAUCAAUAACAUAGACGCCAUAAUAAAAAUAUUUGUCAGCCUUUA
Molecule: long non-coding RNA, 1111 nt
Organism: Lates calcarifer (barramundi perch)
Lineage: Eukaryota; Metazoa; Chordata; Actinopteri; Centropomidae
Exons: 5
Source: RefSeq, a predicted model, not a curated record